UUUAUUGGAGAGUUUGAUCCUGGCUCAGGACGAACGCUGGCGGCGUGCCUAAUACAUGCAAGUCGAGCGAGGGUUUUCGAACCCUAGCGGCGGACGGGUGAGUAACACGUAGGCAACCUGCCUCUCAGACCGGGAUAACAUAGGGAAACUUAUGCUAAUACCGGAUAGGUUUUUGGAUCGCAUGAUCUGAAAAGGAAAGAUGGCGUUUGCUAUCACUGGGAGAUGGGCCUGCGGCGCAUUAGCUAGUUGGUGGGGUAACGGCCUACCAAGGCGACGAUGCGUAGCCGACCUGAGAGGGUGACCGGCCACACUGGGACUGAGACACGGCCCAGACUCCUACGGGAGGCAGCAGUAGGGAAUUUUCCACAAUGGACGAAAGUCUGAUGGAGCAACGCCGCGUGAACGAUGAAG
RNAcentral lists this ribosomal RNA (411 nucleotides) under Brevibacillus gelatini. Its description in RNAcentral is "bacterial SSU rRNA". It matches the Rfam family "Bacterial small subunit ribosomal RNA", at positions 1 to 413 of the family's 1533-position model. The record is from RNAcentral. Lineage: Bacteria; Bacillati; Bacillota; Bacilli; Caryophanales; Paenibacillaceae.